AGAGUUCGUUCCUGGCUCAGGACGAACGCUGGCGGCGUGCCUAAUACAUGCAAGUCGAACGCUUCUUUUUCCACCGGAGCUUGCUCCACCGGAAAAAGAGGAGUGGCGAACGGGUGAGUAACACGUGGGUAACCUGCCCAUCAGAAGGGGAUAACACUUGGAAACAGGUGCUAAUACCGUAUAACAAUCGAAACCGCAUGGUUUUGAUUUGAAAGGCGCUUUCGGGUGUCGCUGAUGGAUGGACCCGCGGUGCAUUAGCUAGUUGGUGAGGUAACGGCUCACCAAGGCGACGAUGCAUAGCCGACCUGAGAGGGUGAUCGGCCACAUUGGGACUGAGACACGGCCCAAACUCCAACGGGAGGCAGCAGUAGGGAAUCUUCGGCAAUGGACGAAAGUCUGACCGAGCAACGCCGCGUGAGUGAAGAAGGUUUUCGGAUCGUAAAACUCUGUUGUUAGAGAAGAACAAGGAUGAGAGUAACUGUUCAUCCCUUGACGGUAUCUAACCAGAAAGCCACGGCUAACUACGUGCCAGCAGCCGCGGUAAUACGUAGGUGGCAAGCGUUGUCCGGAUUUAUUGGGCGUAAAGCGAGCGCAGGCGGUUUCUUAAGUCUGAUGUGAAAGCCCCCGGCUCAACCGGGGAGGGUCAUUGGAAACUGGGAGACUUGAGUGCAGAAGAGGAGAGUGGAAUUCCAUGUGUAGCGGUGAAAUGCGUAGAUAUAUGGAGGAACACCAGUGGCGAAGGCGGCUCUCUGGUCUGUAACUGACGCUGAGGCUCGAAAGCGUGGGGAGCAAACAGGAUUAGAUACCCUGGUAGUCCACGCCGUAAACGAUGAGUGCUAAGUGUUGGAGGGUUUCCGCCCUUCAGUGCUGCAGCUAACGCAUUAAGCACUCCGCCUGGGGAGUACGACCGCAAGGUUGAAACUCAAAGGAAUUGACGGGGGCCCGCACAAGCGGUGGAGCAUGUGGUUUAAUUCGAAGCAACGCGAAGAACCUUACCAGGUCUUGACAUCCUUUGACCACUCUAGAGAUAGAGCUUCCCCUUCGGGGGCAAAGUGACAGGUGGUGCAUGGUUGUCGUCAGCUCGUGUCGUGAGAUGUUGGGUUAAGUCCCGCAACGAGCGCAACCCUUAUUGUUAGUUGCCAUCAUUUAGUUGGGCACUCUAGCAAGACUGCCGGUGACAAACCGGAGGAAGGUGGGGAUGACGUCAAAUCAUCAUGCCCCUUAUGACCUGGGCUACACACGUGCUACAAUGGGAAGUACAACGAGUCGCAAAGUCGCGAGGCUAAGCUAAUCUCUUAAAGCUUCUCUCAGUUCGGAUUGUAGGCUGCAACUCGCCUACAUGAAGCCGGAAUCGCUAGUAAUCGCGGAUCAGCACGCCGCGGUGAAUACGUUCCCGGGCCUUGCACACACCGCCCGUCAA
Molecule: ribosomal RNA, 1420 nt
Filed under: uncultured bacterium
Lineage: Bacteria
Description: bacterial SSU rRNA
Rfam family: Bacterial small subunit ribosomal RNA
Source: RNAcentral